Molecule: ribosomal RNA, 470 nt
Filed under: uncultured bacterium
Lineage: Bacteria
Description: bacterial SSU rRNA
Rfam family: Bacterial small subunit ribosomal RNA
Source: RNAcentral
ACUCCUACGGGAGGCAGCAGUGGGGAAUAUUGCACAAUGGGCGCAAGCCUGAUGCAGCCAUGCCGCGUGUAUGAAGAAGGCCUUCGGGUUGUAAAGUACUUUCAGCAGUGAGGAAGGUGGGUAUGUUAAUAGCACUAUCAUUUGACGUUAGCGACAGAAGAAGCACCGGCUAACUCCGUGCCAGCAGCCGCGGUAAUACGGAGGGUGCGAGCGUUAAUCGGAAUUACUGGGCGUAAAGCGCAUGCAGGUGGUUUGUUAAGUCAGAUGUGAAAGCCCGGGGCUCAACCUCGGAAUAGCAUUUGAAACUGGCAAGCUAGAGUACUGUAGAGGGGGUAGAAUUUCAGGUGUAGCGGUGAAAUGCGUAGAGAUCUGAAGGAAUACCGGUGGCGAAGGCGGCCCCCUGGACAGAUACUGACACUCAGAUGCGAAAGCGUGGGGAGCAAACAGGAUUAGAUACCCUGGUAGGAUAG